RNAcentral lists this ribosomal RNA (492 nucleotides) under uncultured bacterium. RNAcentral describes it as "partial 16S ribosomal RNA". It matches the Rfam family "Bacterial small subunit ribosomal RNA", at positions 29 to 507 of the family's 1533-position model. The record is from RNAcentral.
AGUGAACGCUGGCGGUAGGCCUAACACAUGCAAGUCGAACGGCAGCACAGUAAGAGCUUGCUCUUACGGGUGGCGAGUGGCGGACGGGUGAGGAAUACAUCGGAAUCUACUUUUUCGUGGGGGAUAACGUAGGGAAACUUACGCUAAUACCGCAUACGACCUACGGGUGAAAGCAGGGGAUCUUCGGACCUUGCGCGAUUGAAUGAGCCGAUGUCGGAUUAGCUAGUUGGCGGGGUAAAGGCCCACCAAGGCGACGAUCCGUAGCUGGUCUGAGAGGAUGAACAGCCACACUGGAACUGUGACACGGUACAGACUCCUACGGGAGGCAGCAGUUGUGAAUAUUGGACAAUGGGCGCAAUCCUGAUCCAACCAUACCGCGUGGGUGAAGAGCGCCUCCGGGUUGUAGAGCCCUUCUUUUGGGAAAGAAAAGCAGUAGGUUAAUACCCCGCUGUUCUGACGGUACCCAAAGAAUAAGCACCCGCUAACUUCGUG